This is a long non-coding RNA of Lepidothrix coronata (blue-crowned manakin), 272 nucleotides long. RefSeq lists it as uncharacterized. NCBI's taxonomy places the organism in Eukaryota, Metazoa, Chordata, Aves, Passeriformes, Pipridae. The record is from RefSeq and is a predicted model, not a curated record. The transcript has 2 exons.
CAGUGCCAGCGCCUGGGGGACACGGCGGAGAUGGAGAUGGCGGCGAUGCUGGAGCGCUGCCCCUCCGUGCUGCGCUUCGGGUACCACUUCACCCAGCAGGGCCCCCGCGCCCGCGCCGCCAGCGCCAUCACCAGGAACAACGAGCUCCGCCGGAAGCAGAAGAAAACCUAAACCAACCCCCCAGGAACGGGAGAUCUCUGGGAAUGUUGGAAAUAAAGCUGGAAAGACACGGAUUUGAGACCCCCUUUGGGGCAGGAUUGUGCCACACGGGA